GCUAGAUUCAGAUUCAAGUAGUGCCGUAUUGGUAGAUUUGAAAUUGGAGAUGGCGAUUUCAAUCUUGAAGGGAUAGAGAGGAAUCUGGUGAUUUUAGGGUUUCUUUUAUCCAAUGCAAUGUAGGUAUAAAGAAAAGCAGCUUUGACGUCUGUCGUUAUGAUUCGGAGAAGAAAGAAGCGAAGGGAGAUGAAACCCCAUCUGUUGAGAUCGGUACGGUUCACGACGAUAAACCUCAAGGUUCAAGCAUGGCGCCGCCUAGUAUAAAGAGAAGCAGCUUUCUCGUCGGUCGUAAUGAUUCGGAGAAGAAAGAAACCCCUUCUGUUGACGACGAUAGUGAUGAUUUCGAGGAGCAUCUUCACGGCUAUGUUGUUGACGUUGGUUCUGAUGAUGGUGGCGUUGAUAUAGGAGUACCUCGUGAUUUUGGAGAGUACCAUCACGAUGAUGUUGAAGCCGUUCAUACUCUUGUUGUUCAUGCCCCCUCUGAAGUUGACCAAGGUCCUCCUCCUCGUCAUGAUGAAGAACCUGGACCCUCUCAGCGAAGACCCAUCGGUGACUACAUGGACAUGUUUCAUAUGAUACACACUCGUUACCCAGGACUCAUGUCCAGCCUGUGCCUUCCAGAAGAUGAUCUUCUUACGUUUGAUCAGAAGAGGUUAAGACAAAUAAUGGGGCUUAUUAAAGCUGAGGGGGACAGAGAGCUGAGAGGGAGAUGGAGAUGAUUGUAGUGCAAGAGAUUGGGGAUCAGGUGCCAGAAGCUGGUGGACGAAAGCAGAUAGAGGAUAGGAAACUUAAGCCGUUUAAGGAAGUUGUGGUGACCAUCAUUCAUGAGUACUUCAGUUCCAGCGAUGUACCUGAGCUCAUACGCAGUAUUGAGGAUUUAGGAGCACCGGAGUACAAGGCAAUAUUUGUAAAGAUGCUCGUAACACUUGCUCUAGACAGGAAGAACCGCGAGAAAGAAAUGGCUUCAGUUCUCAUCUCUUCUCUUCACAUCGAGAUGUUCGCAACAGAAGAUGUUGCCGAUGGUUUUUUCAUGCUCCUGGAGUCUGCAGAAGAUACAGCUCUUGAUCCUUCCUACGUACUUGCUCUGUUCUUAGCCAGAACUAUGAUCGACUACGUGUUAUCACCUGUUAACCUCGUACACAUCGGUAGCAGACUACAACCAAACUCAAGCGGGGCUGAAACCGUGAAGUUGGCUAGGUUACUCAUCUUUGCUGGCCGUGCAGAUGCAGUAGAGACGCUCCUACUUCGCUGGGGAGGUGGAACAGGAUGGGGAGUGAAAGAUACAAAGGACAAGAUAGUGAACCUUCUAGAGGAAUAUGAAAGCUCAGGGAUGGUGUCAGAAGCGUGCAAAUGCAUCCAUGAGCUCGGCAUGCCUUUCUUCAACCACGAGUUAGUGAAGAAGGCGUUGAUCAUGGCCAUGGAGAAGAAGAAGGACAAGAUGGUGCUGGAUCUUUUCACGGAGAGCUUUGGUGGGGGGCUGAUAACGAUUAAUCAGAUGACGAAAGGGUUCAGUAGAGUCAAAGACGGUCUGCAAAAUCUUGCUUUGGACAUCCCAAAUGCAAAGAAGAAGUUUAAUGACUAUGUUAAGUGUGCAAAAAUGAAUGGUUGGGUCUCAUCAUCGUUUCCAACAAUGUGAUGACUUCUGGAUCCAGGUCACUGCUCGACACCAGAUUUACUCUGUUCGAAGAUUUACUAAAGAUAGACUCUUUUGAGGUUCUGCACUAAUAGACACAGAAGCUAGGCUAUUUUUCAGGAUCAAUCCUAUUGUAGACAAGAAAAAGUUUGAAGUUUUAAAGCUGUUCUGUCUCUCUCCUUUGAGAUAUGAGAUUAAAAGUCUACCUUCUCAGUAAAGGUUCUUGAGCAACUUGUACGAGGUUCUCGUUGAAAAAGAUCCUUCUCAAUCUCAUGGCUCUCUUCAAGCACAUCAAAAAGCCUCUUUAGAAAUCCAAAACAACUUCUGCCUUGCAAUUUUGUUUUCUUUUAGAAACAGAAUCAAAAUCCUUUUUACCUUCUGUUUUCUUUUUCUUUUUUUGGGACAUGACAGAGACUUUUGCUCACGUUUCGCAAAGCCACACGUGAAGUAUUGAACCUAAGUGAAUACUUUUUCAUAUUGCUAUUGAACCUA
Molecule: RNA transcript, 2125 nt
Organism: Brassica oleracea var. oleracea
Lineage: Eukaryota; Viridiplantae; Streptophyta; Magnoliopsida; Brassicales; Brassicaceae
Gene name: programmed cell death protein 4-like
Exons: 3
Source: RefSeq, a predicted model, not a curated record